GAAGCGGUGGUCUGGAGAUUUCUCCAACGCUAUUACACCAUUGUACAUUCCGUUUAUCUCUUUUGUUUCAGUCAUGUUGUAGUUUCAGGAAAAAAAGUCAAUAGGUAUUUUGUGUCCAUAGUCGAAUUACCCAACUCAUAAUCAAUCAUAUUUAUUUUAGGAUACCGUACCUCAAAAGGCACAUCACAAUUUUUAAUGUAGUUGGAUUAUAAUCCAACAGAUUAUAGAAAUUGUAAUUUCUACCAAAAUAUUUGCAAAAGCCGUGUAUCAAUGAAGCGGAGAUUAAAUGAGAUCAAUUUUAUCGCCAUAAAAAUUAUACAUAUUGAUGACACGAACUUGUCAAAUUAAAAAACUUGUCAAAAGCGUGCGUGGCUGACGUCACCUGAGAAUAUCCCGCGACUUGGCAUUCUCACGACCGCACAAACCUGUCGCUCGAUUAAAGUGCCGUUAGUUAAUACAGCCUCCAGAACCUGACGAAUCGAGAUGACCUGGCCUGAUGAAAGAACUCGAUCUUGCAACGAUUAUGUGGGGAUAAUACAUCAAACAAUGUAUCGCACAUGCGUUUGGCGGCAUUCAGGAGAACAAAGAGCAUGUAACAUUGGCGUCUCGUGAAAUUAGCUCGAUUGAUGGAAAGAGCGAACAGAGCGACGUGUAAGGGGAUACGGCGUCAGGCGGUCACUAAUGUCGUGGUACAGUGCUCCACGUCAAUAUCUAGUCCGAUUGUGAUAUUAAGACUUCGUAAAAAUAUACAUGAUAUACAUAGUAAUGUUACCCUAGAAUAAGUGAAAACUUCAGAAUGGGCACACAUUGUCAAAAGUUUAAAAAAGGCUAUGAAAUCUAGAAUCCCCAACAGCUAGGUACAAGAAUAUCCUUACGUUUUCCUAAUGGAUCAACUGGUAGGUAUGCAUAGCUAGGUAUAGUGCCAUCUAAAACUACACCUUAAAAAGAGUGUCUAGGACGGCACAAAUACCUAGUUUUGCAUACCAAAUACUUUUUAAGGUUGCAUAAUAUAAAUUUGUAAGUACAAUAUUUUAAUAAUAUUAAUUACUAAAAUAUAAAAUAUUCGUGGCCUACUAUGCCUGUAAUCGAACCCGAAUCACGGCGCUGCGGACACGUCGCGGCGCAUGCGCCGCUCUGCUGGACAGACCGACCGCUGGACAUAUGCGUCUGCACCAUAUAUUGGGUAUUUUAUAAAUAAAGUCAAAGCUUUCAUUAAGAAACUAGAACUUCAAU
Molecule: long non-coding RNA, 1233 nt
Organism: Plodia interpunctella (Indianmeal moth)
Lineage: Eukaryota; Metazoa; Arthropoda; Insecta; Lepidoptera; Pyralidae
Exons: 4
Source: RefSeq, a predicted model, not a curated record